AAUAACUUUAUUUUUCGUUUUUCCGUGUCCAACGUUUGACCAUUCGUUUUAUUUGAAAAAUUUGUGAAAAAACUUAAAAAAAUUAAUCACGUAUAAAGUACUAUUCAUAUUUUAUCAUCUAGUAAUAAUAAAAAUAUUAAUCACAAAAAAUUUUAAAUAAGACAAAUAGUCAAACUUUAGACACGAAAAAAC
This is a non-coding RNA of Oryza brachyantha (malo sina), 192 nucleotides long. The record is from Rfam. NCBI's taxonomy places the organism in Eukaryota, Viridiplantae, Streptophyta, Magnoliopsida, Poales, Poaceae.